Molecule: long non-coding RNA, 651 nt
Organism: Carassius gibelio (silver crucian carp)
Lineage: Eukaryota; Metazoa; Chordata; Actinopteri; Cypriniformes; Cyprinidae
Exons: 2
Source: RefSeq, a predicted model, not a curated record
AAUCCAGUGAUUGUACUGCGCAUGCGCGCGUUAUGACUUUCAUCAAAGUCAUUACGUCACCGGAACUCGUGUUUUUUCCGUCCGACUGAAGCAUGUUUCCUUCACAUUGAUGGUUUGGAUUUAAAAUUGGCUUAUAUAGGCGUUUCUAGUGGCAUUUUUAGACAGGUGUCAACAGCAUGGCACCGCUGCUGCUCCCGUGUCUUGUUGGUUCCCUGACACGCCAGUUGUCCCGUGUUGCCAGAUGUGCUGCUUUCGGCUCCUUACCUGCAGCAGGUGCACAGAGAUGCAUCUCCACCAUCACAGCUGCAGCGGUGAGAUUCAGAGGAGCCAUCAACCCAAUGUGGGAGCCACCCGGAGCAUUCCUCUCACCUCUGCUUGGACAAUGCCAGCAGCUCCUGUGUGUACAACCAUAUGCUGGCAUGAAGACUAAAACCGCUCUCAAAAGACGCUGCAAAGACUGCUUUUUCGUCCGCCGCCGUGGAAGGCUGUUUGUUUUUUGCAAAUCCCACCCCAGACACAAGCAGCGGCAGGGGUGAAUUAAUUGAGACCUUAAUGUGAGACUGACUGAGACUUGAGAAUCACUCGAAUGGUGUACUGAGCAUGUAAAGAUCAAUAGAGUUUCUAAUAAAUGUUGACAUCCUCAUCUGAAAA